CACGAAACAAUUUUUCGGUGAAAGAAAAUGAGGACAGAAUAAAUGUCCCGAGGCCAGCAGGUGGAUGAGGGAAGGGGAGGCAGGAGGAGAGCCCCGAGGCGGCCACCAGUCCGAGUGUCAGGUGAACUGAACUUCAGAAAACUAGUUGAGAGGAAAGACAAGCUGCUGUAGUUCUUUGUAAGUGCUUUACAGUUAAGUGAAGUUGUUGGCUUCUCUCCUGCCUGACUGAACUGGACCGGAUCUGGGGAAGGAGUCAUGUCUGAGUGUGCUGCCAACAAAAACAGCACUUAUCUCAAUUUCUUGGUUGCACUUUCGAUUUGAGGCUGACUUGUGUGUACAGAUGAGGAGGAAAACCUCCAAACAUAACAAAUGGAAUUCGAUGUUUUCAUUUGACUAUAAAAUGUGCUAAUCUUUAUGUAAAAAAAAUAAAAAAAUAAAAAAAGCUAUGCUGAUGAUUUCUGACAAUAUUUU
Astatotilapia calliptera (eastern happy) is the source of this 471-nucleotide long non-coding RNA. The record is from Ensembl. Lineage: Eukaryota; Metazoa; Chordata; Actinopteri; Cichliformes; Cichlidae.